This is a long non-coding RNA of Cervus elaphus (red deer), 156 nucleotides long. RefSeq lists it as uncharacterized. The record is from RefSeq and is a predicted model, not a curated record. Lineage: Eukaryota; Metazoa; Chordata; Mammalia; Artiodactyla; Cervidae. The transcript is spliced from 3 exons.
AGAUGGCCAAGAGAAACAUCAGUAACUUCAGGGAUGCAAAUGGCAUCACCCUUAUGGCAGAAAGUGAAGAACUAAAGAGCCUCUUGAUGAAAGUGAAAGAGGAGAGUGAAAAAACUGGCUUAAAACUCAGCAUUCAAAAAACAAAGAUCAUGGCAU